Molecule: signal recognition particle RNA, 148 nt
Filed under: Pan paniscus (pygmy chimpanzee)
Lineage: Eukaryota; Metazoa; Chordata; Mammalia; Primates; Hominidae
Also listed under: 1 other name
Description: Metazoan signal recognition particle RNA
Rfam family: Metazoan signal recognition particle RNA
About the family: The signal recognition particle (SRP) is a universally conserved ribonucleoprotein. It is involved in the co-translational targeting of proteins to membranes.
Source: Rfam by way of RNAcentral
GCCAUGCGUGGUGGCGCAUGCCUGUAAUCCCAGCUACUUGGGAGGCUGAGGCAGGAGAAUCGCCUGAACCCGGGAGGCUGAGGUUGCAGUGAGCCGAGAUGGUGCCACUGUACUCCAGCCUGGGUGACAGAGCGAGACUCUGUCUCAA